Lynx canadensis (Canada lynx) is the source of this 260-nucleotide long non-coding RNA. RefSeq lists it as uncharacterized. The transcript is spliced from 2 exons. NCBI's taxonomy places the organism in Eukaryota, Metazoa, Chordata, Mammalia, Carnivora, Felidae. The record is from RefSeq and is a predicted model, not a curated record.
AGAAAGUCUUGAACGUCCAGAUCUGGAAAGGGCAAGCACAAUUAAGAUGCUGAUAAGCCCAGUACUUCCAAACAGCGGUCUGAAAUGUUGAAGAAGGCAUCAUCAGUUCUGUCCAAAGUGUUUUCAAGAUCCAAGGCCAAUGUUUCCAGAUCUUCUUCAACCUCACCCCCUCACCAGGACAGAAGCUGAGGCUGCUGCUACACCUAACAUCAAUAAUGGUGCUGGCCUUCCUCAAAAAAUAAAUGGUUUUUGAAACAUGA